GGAGGUUGGCGGCGGACGUACGUCUCGCCAACCCGGUCAGGUCCGGAAGGAAGCAGCCGUAACGAGUUUCCGUGCGGGUUGCUGUCCAGCCUCCCAC
RNAcentral lists this signal recognition particle RNA (97 nucleotides) under Dongia mobilis. RNAcentral's name for it is "Bacterial small signal recognition particle RNA". It matches the Rfam family "Bacterial small signal recognition particle RNA". Rfam says of the family: The signal recognition particle (SRP) is a universally conserved ribonucleoprotein involved in the co-translational targeting of proteins to membranes. Archaeal SRP consists of a 7S RNA and homologues of the eukaryotic SRP19 and SRP54 proteins. The record is from RNAcentral. Lineage: Bacteria; Pseudomonadati; Pseudomonadota; Alphaproteobacteria; Rhodospirillales; Dongiaceae.